AACUUUUGACAAUGGAUCACUUGGCUCUCGCAUCGAUGAAGAACGCAGCGAAAUGCGAUAAGUAAUGUGAAUUUCAGAAUUCAGUGAAUCAUCGAAUCUUUGAACGCACCUUGCACCCUUUGGCAUUCCGAAGGGUAUGCUCGUUUGAGUGUCAUUGUACUCUCACACUCCCGAUGCUUGUGGAUUGGGAGUGGUGGACUUGGGUGUUGCUGCUUUACUGUGGCUCACCUCAAAUGGAGUAGUGCAACUCUUGGUUGGACAUAGUAUGGCAUGAUAAGCAUCUUUGCCAGCACCUCUCCGGAGGGUGGUCAGUCAAGAGCUCUGUGCUUCUAACUGUCUUUGGACAAUGUUGACAACUUGACCUCAAAUCGAGUAGGACUACCCGCUGAACUUAAGCAUAUCAAUAAGCGGAGGCU
Molecule: unclassified non-coding RNA, 416 nt
Filed under: uncultured Sebacinaceae
Lineage: Eukaryota; Fungi; Basidiomycota; Agaricomycetes; Sebacinales; Sebacinaceae
Description: sequence contains ITS2
Rfam family: 5.8S ribosomal RNA (bases 1-154)
Source: RNAcentral